CUUCUUCUUCUCGCUGUUCGGAACCCAGGUAGCUUGGUUCGUCAUCCCCAUCUUCCUGUCUUCUCUGUUCGUGGCUUGGAGCAGCUCGCCGUUGGGUCGCCGCUUGCUGUCGCCUUGCCUAUUGUCGUCGUCUCGUCGGUUUCCAUCCUGUCUCCGUCGAAGGUUCAGUAUUGGCUUCAACUUUCAAAUAGGAAUUGGGAGCUGGUGAAGAUAAUAACAUCUUCUGGAACUGAGUAUGUUGUUUCACUGCCUGAUAGAAAAUAAGCUGAAGCAUAAGAGGGAUAAAAAACAAACUGAAACCCAAUGUUGGGAGGAGGAAGAGCAAGAGAAUCAUGGUAACAAGAUCCUUGAAGACCCUUCUCUCAAGGGGGGUCUUAUUAAAAAGACAAAGCUUCAGGAGUGUGAUGAAUCAAUGGGGCCCAAAGAAGAUGGUACUACAAUGAUGGGGCUUGCAGGAAUUCCUGUAGCACCUUGCUACCGGGGAUCAAAAGGUGGAAUCUAUUUCGUUCUUCAAAAUGCCUCCCUGGUUGCUGCUUAUGUUGGGAAGAGGUACCAGAUUUUGAAUCCAGACGAGCAUGCCAAUUUCCUGCGAAGGAAAAACAAGAACCCUUAUGAUUAUAGGCCUGAUAUUGUGCAUGAGGCCCUUCUUCAAAUUAUGGGUAGUAGGCUUUGCAUGGCCGGUAGGGUACAUGGUGUAUUCAUUAAAACUGAUGAAGGAAUACUUAUCCGAGUUGAAGCAAACACCCAGAUACCAAAGACUCUGGGAAGCUUUUGCAACAUGAUGGCUGAGCUACUGCAAAAGUUCAGCAUCAAAUCAAAGGGUAAUCGUGGAAAACUUUUGCGCCUAAUUGAAAAUCCUGUAACUAAACACUUACCUGUUAACUCUCGUAAGAUUGUGUUAGGUAACAAAAUGAAAGCGACAGACAGAGACAGGGACAUGGACACAAACUUUAGUGCUAACUAGUUUUGCGAUAGGGGAGGACAAGGAAAAAUAUAUUAAGUGGACAUGAUUGCUCCUAGCUGGGCCACUGCCGGAAAAGUGUUCAGCCAUUGGAUCUUGCCAAAAGGGUUACUGAUGGUAGCAAUCUGGCAGUUGGCGGUGGUGGUGGUCUGGGAGGAGCAAGAGGUAAUAUGUGUCUGCAAGUUGUGUCUCCAGUGUCCUCACUUUUUGAGGUUGGUGCAAUGGCUCAUGGAAAGAUAGAUGCUGAAUAUGUUGAUGAUCUUAUAUCAGUUUCUGCAUUGCCCUUGAGUGCUGGGACUUGUCUGAGACGUAUCUGUGUUGCGUUGGAGAGGAAUCAGAAGAUUCACUGAUUAACAUUUCUACUUAUUUUUUGUACAUAUUGGUAACAUCAAUUCUGCUAACUAUAGACCCAAGGGGUUAGCUCAGUAAAAUUGUUGUUAGUUUAUUAUUCUGGGAACAAAUAUUUUUCAGUUAUUUUGGGCUGUUUCUCUCCCAAGGAUGCAAAUGACACUUAAUGAACUCACUCUCUUUUAGCCACUUAUAA
Molecule: RNA transcript, 1505 nt
Organism: Arachis stenosperma
Lineage: Eukaryota; Viridiplantae; Streptophyta; Magnoliopsida; Fabales; Fabaceae
Exons: 10
Source: RefSeq, a predicted model, not a curated record